UCGAGGAUCUUCGUCAAUGGGCGCAAGCCUGAACGAGCGACACCGCGUGCGCGAUGAAGGCCUUCGGGUUGUAAAGCGCGAAAGUGGAGAGAAAGGGAAACUUGAUCAAUCCACAGUAAGGACGGGCUAAGUUCGUGCCAGCAGCCGCGGUAAGACGAACUGUCCUAACGUUGUUCGGAAUCACUGGGCUUAAAGGGCGCGUAGGCGGUCCGACAAGUCAGGGGUGAAAUCCUGCAGCUUAACUGUAGAAGUGCCUCUGAUACUGUCGGUCUUGAGGGAAAUAGGGGUGUGCGGAACUUCCAGUGGAGCGGUGAAAUGCGUUGAUAUUGGAAGGAACGCCGGAGGCGAAAGCGGCGCACUGGAUCUCUUCUGACGCUGAGGCGCGAAAGCUAGGGGAGCAAACGGGAUUAGAUACCCCCGUAGUCC
RNAcentral lists this ribosomal RNA (426 nucleotides) under uncultured bacterium. RNAcentral's name for it is "bacterial SSU rRNA". It matches the Rfam family "Bacterial small subunit ribosomal RNA", at positions 355 to 796 of the family's 1533-position model. The record is from RNAcentral.